Molecule: ribosomal RNA, 301 nt
Filed under: uncultured bacterium
Lineage: Bacteria
Description: partial 16S ribosomal RNA
Rfam family: Bacterial small subunit ribosomal RNA
Source: RNAcentral
CAGCAGCCACGGUAAUGCGUAGGUGGCAAGCGUUGUCCGGAAUUAUUGGGCGUAAAGGGCUCGCAGGCGGUUUCUUAAGUCUGAUGUGAAAGCCCCCGGCUCAACCGGGGAGGGUCAUUGGAAACUGGGAAACUUGAGUGCAGAAGAGGAGAGUGGAAUUCCACGUGUAGCGGUGAAAUGCGUAGAGAUGUGGAGGAACACCAGUGGCGAAGGCGACUCUCUGGUCUGUAACUGACGCUGAGGAGCGAAAGCGUGGGAAGCGAACAGGAUUAGAUACCCGCGUAGUCCCUGUCUCUUAUAC